RNAcentral lists this long non-coding RNA (583 nucleotides) under Oryza sativa Indica Group (long-grained rice). RNAcentral's name for it is "lncRNA OsMH63_08G008740". The record is from RNAcentral. Lineage: Eukaryota; Viridiplantae; Streptophyta; Magnoliopsida; Poales; Poaceae.
AUGCCGUCGGCCUGCCCAAAUCUGGCACCCCCCGAUCGGACGCGCGAACUCAUGAAUGACGUGGCCGCCAGCCCGCCACAGCACCAGCAGCAUCCUCAACCCCGAAGCAUCCUCAGACCCCUAUGCCACCACAAGGAGAGGGAGAAGAAGGGGGAGGGGGCGCCGGCGCGAGGGGGAGGCGGAGACGCGGACUCAUCAUGCACCUCAGUCUGGUACUCGAACUCCUCGCUGGCCGCCUCCUCCUCCCCGGCGGGCUUCUCGGUGACGGAGGCGUCGCACCUGACCCCGACCAAUCUCCCCUUCCCCUUCCUCCUCCCGGCCUCCCACCUCACCCCUCUCACCGACGCCGCUGCUCCCCUACCCUGCACCGCAACCGCAUUCCGCGGCGUGGGACUUCGCGUCGCCGUGGGGCUCGGUCGUAGCGCCGCCACCGACGACGCCCCUAGGGUCCUGUUCAGCGCUGGCAGUCAGAGGGAGGAGGGGACACGAGCAGUCAGAUCCGCGUGCCCCGACCAUAUGGGGGCCGGAUCCAGAUGCCGACGGUCGCCAGCGAUGACUGCAGUGGCAGUGUAGGUGGAGAAGA